This 675-nucleotide ribosomal RNA is filed under the name Bacillus mojavensis. RNAcentral's name for it is "bacterial SSU rRNA". It matches the Rfam family "Bacterial small subunit ribosomal RNA", at positions 72 to 731 of the family's 1533-position model. Lineage: Bacteria; Bacillati; Bacillota; Bacilli; Caryophanales; Bacillaceae. The record is from RNAcentral.
AUGGGAGCUUGCUCCCUGAUGUUAGCGGCGGACGGGUGAGUAACACGUGGGUAACCUGCCUGUAAGACUGGGAUAACUCCGGGAAACCGGGGCUAAUACCGGAUGGUUGUUUGAACCGCAUGGUUCAAACAUAAAAGGUGGCUUCGGCUACCACUUACAGAUGGACCCGCGGCGCAUUAGCUAGUUGGUGAGGUAACGGCUCACCAAGGCAACGAUGCGUAGCCGACCUGAGAGGGUGAUCGGCCACACUGGGACUGAGACACGGCCCAGACUCCUACGGGAGGCAGCAGUAGGGAAUCUUCCGCAAUGGACGAAAGUCUGACGGAGCAACGCCGCGUGAGUGAUGAAGGUUUUCGGAUCGUAAAGCUCUGUUGUUAGGGAAGAACAAGUACCGUUCGAAUAGGGCGGUACCUUGACGGUACCUAACCAGAAAGCCACGGCUAACUACGUGCCAGCAGCCGCGGUAAUACGUAGGUGGCAAGCGUUGUCCGGAAUUAUUGGGCGUAAAGGGCUCGCAGGCGGUUUCUUAAGUCUGAUGUGAAAGCCCCCGGCUCAACCGGGGAGGGUCAUUGGAAACUGGGGAACUUGAGUGCAGAAGAGGAGAGUGGAAUUCCACGUGUAGCGGUGAAAUGCGUAGAGAUGUGGAGGAACACCAGUGGCGAAGGCGACUCUCUG